This 313-nucleotide ribosomal RNA is filed under the name Betaproteobacteria bacterium. Its description in RNAcentral is "bacterial LSU rRNA". It matches the Rfam family "Bacterial large subunit ribosomal RNA", at positions 2625 to 2925 of the family's 2925-position model. The record is from RNAcentral. Lineage: Bacteria; Pseudomonadati; Pseudomonadota; Betaproteobacteria.
GACAGUUUGGUCCCUAUCUACCGUGGGCGCUGGAAGUUUGAGAGGACCUGCUCCUAGUACGAGAGGACCGGAGUGGACGUAGCUCUGGUGUACCGGUUGUGACGCCAGUCGCAUUGCCGGGUAGCUAACUACGGAAGAGAUAAGCGCUGAAAGCAUCUAAGCGCGAAACUCGCCUCAAGAUGAGACUUCCCGGAGGUUUAACCUCCCUAAAGGGUCGUUGCAGACUACAACGUUGAUAGGUCGGGUGUGCAAGCGUAGCAAUGCGUUCAGCUAACCGAUACUAAUUGCCCGUGCGGCUUGAUCCUAUAGCCUU